CCUACGGGAGGCAGCAGUGGGGAAUAUUGCACAAUGGGGGAAACCCUGAUGCAGCGACGCCGCGUGAGCGAAGAAGUAUUUCGGUAUGUAAAGCUCUAUCAGCAGGGAAGAAAAUGACGGUACCUGAGUAAGAAGCUCCGGCUAAAUACGUGCCAGCAGCCGCGGUAAUACGUAUGGAGCAAGCGUUAUCCGGAUUUACUGGGCGUAAAGGGAGCGUAGGCGGGCUGCCAAGUCUGAUGUGAAAUACCGGGGCUCAACCCCGGGACUGCAUUGGAAACUGCCGAACUAGAGUGUCGGAGAGGCAAGUGGAAUUCCUAGUGUAGCGGUGAAAGGCGUAGAUAUUAGGAGGAACACCAGUGGCGAAGGCGGCUUGCUGGACGAUGACUGACGUUGAGGCUCGAAAGCGUGGGGAGCAAACAGGAUUAGAUACCCGGGUAGUC
RNAcentral lists this ribosomal RNA (440 nucleotides) under uncultured bacterium. RNAcentral's name for it is "partial 16S ribosomal RNA". It matches the Rfam family "Bacterial small subunit ribosomal RNA", at positions 338 to 795 of the family's 1533-position model. The record is from RNAcentral.